Molecule: ribosomal RNA, 426 nt
Filed under: uncultured bacterium
Lineage: Bacteria
Description: partial 16S ribosomal RNA
Rfam family: Bacterial small subunit ribosomal RNA
Source: RNAcentral
GUGAGGAAUUUUCCGCAAUGGGCGAAAGCCUGACGGAGCAAUGCCGCGUGAAGGAUGAAGGCCUAUGGGUUGUAAACUUCUUUUCUUAGAGAAGAAUAUUGACGGUAUCUGAGGAAUAAGCAUCGGCUAACUCUGUGCCAGCAGCCGCGGUAAUACGAAGGGGGCGAGCGUUAUUCGGAAUCACUGGGCGUAAAGCGUGCGUAGGCUGUUUUGUAAGUCAGAAGUGAAAGCCCAGGGCUUAACCCUGGAAUUGCUUUUGAAACUACAAGACUCGAAUUCGGGAGAGGAUAGCGGAAUUGUCAGUGUAGCAGUGAAAUGCGUAGAUAUUGACAGGAACACCAGUGGCGCAAGCGGCUAUCUGGACCGAUAUUGACGCUGAGGCACGAAAGCGUGGGGAGCAAACAGGAUUAGAAACCCGAGUAGUCC